This is a long non-coding RNA of Cervus elaphus (red deer), 171 nucleotides long. RefSeq lists it as uncharacterized. The transcript is spliced from 3 exons. The record is from RefSeq and is a predicted model, not a curated record. NCBI's taxonomy places the organism in Eukaryota, Metazoa, Chordata, Mammalia, Artiodactyla, Cervidae.
UCUGUCCAUGGGAUUUUCCAGGCAAGAAUACUAGAAUGGAAACAUUAUCCUCAAAGGCGAAAAAUUGAAAGCAUUUCCUCUAAAAUCAGGAACAAGAAAAGGGUGCCCACUCUCACCACUACUAUUCAACAUAGUUUUGGAAGUCCUAGCCACAGCAAUCAAAGAAGAAAA